Molecule: ribosomal RNA, 253 nt
Filed under: uncultured bacterium
Lineage: Bacteria
Description: partial 16S ribosomal RNA
Rfam family: Bacterial small subunit ribosomal RNA
Source: RNAcentral
GACAGAGGUGCCAAGCGUUAGGCGGAAUCACUGGGCGUAAAGAGCGUGUAGGCGGUUUGGUAGGUCCGCUGUGAAAACUCGAGGCUCAACCUCGAGACGCCGGUGGAAACCAUCAGACUAGAGUCCGGAAGAGGAGAGUGGAAUUCCUGGUGUAGCGGUGAAAUGCGCAGAUAUCAGGAAGAACACCCGUGGCUAAGGCGGCUCUCUAGUACGGUACUGACGCUGAGACGCGAAAGCGUGGGGAGCGAACAGG